Molecule: ribosomal RNA, 465 nt
Filed under: uncultured bacterium
Lineage: Bacteria
Description: partial 16S ribosomal RNA
Rfam family: Bacterial small subunit ribosomal RNA
Source: RNAcentral
CUACGGGCUGCUCCAGUGGGGAAUAUUGGACAAUGGGGGAAACCCUGAUCCAGCAAUGCCGCGUGUGUGAAGAAGGCCUGCGGGUUGUAAAGCACUUUCGGUUGGGAGGACUGCUUCUAGCACUAAUAUUGUUGGAAGUUGACGUUACCUUCAGAAGAAGCACCGGCUAACUCCGUGCCAGCAGCCGCGGUAAUACGGAGGGUGCAAGCGUGAAUCGGAAUUACUGGGCGUAAAGCGCGCGUAGGCGGCUAGAUCAGUCGGGUGUGAAAGCCCCGGGCUUAACCUGGGAACUGCAUCCGAUACUGUCUAGCUUGAGUACAGGAGAGGAGAGUGGAAUUCCACAUGUAGCGGUGAAAUGCGUAGAUAUGUGGAGGAACACCAAUGGCGAAGGCAGCUCUCUGGCCUGAUACUGACGCUGAGGCGCGAAAGCGUGGGGAGCAAACAGGAUUAGAUACCCCCGUAGUC